GCAGCCAUAUUGAAGUAUUGAACUGAAAUAAUAUAAAUGAAAGUAGAAAAAUCUGUGGCCAUACUUGAUCGAUUGACUAAAAUUGGAAAAUCUGGAACCACAGAAGAGUGAAAAUGCCCUAAGUUUUGCAGUGCAUCACAUAAUUCAAGUUUUCAAAGAAAUGGUGGGCACAAGAGGUAUGAAGGGUACAAAUUAGCACCGACCCAUUAUGUCUGCCAAAUCAAAAUCAAAAUGACAUUAUCCUAUAAUUAUAUCAUCUUAACUCGUGAACAUUUUUGACCCAACUUUUUCAUUACAAACUUCACGGUUCACACCUAUGUACCCGUCAACAUCUUCCCAC
This 340-nucleotide long non-coding RNA is filed under the name Vigna radiata. RNAcentral describes it as "long non-coding RNA (VRAD_LNC002236)". Lineage: Eukaryota; Viridiplantae; Streptophyta; Magnoliopsida; Fabales; Fabaceae. The record is from RNAcentral.